RNAcentral lists this transfer RNA (107 nucleotides) under Candidatus Heimdallarchaeota archaeon. RNAcentral describes it as "tRNA-Ala". It matches the Rfam family "tRNA". From Rfam's summary of the family: Transfer RNA (tRNA) molecules are approximately 80 nucleotides in length. Their secondary structure includes four short double-helical elements and three loops (D, anti-codon, and T loops). Lineage: Archaea; Promethearchaeati; Candidatus Heimdallarchaeota. The record is from RNAcentral.
GGGCCGGUAGAUCAGCGGAAGAUCGUCUCCUUGGCAUGGAGGAGGCCACGAGAACUGCUGGGAUGCGCUCCCUUUAGUCGUGAAUUCAAAUCUCGUCCGGUCCACCA